UCGGCGUGGGCGGAACGGCAGCGGCAGUGCGUCGCCCGCUGGGCACGCCGCGCGCACAGCGCGCAGGCGCUGCCCCAGGCGCGCGCUGCCCCCAUCGCUCGCCUCCUCCUCGCCAGUUUCCGGUGCCGGGCUCCCGCUGGUCGCCCGGAAAGUCUGAAAGCAGCGAUUAAACAGACCAAAGAACAGCAGCGGCCGCGCGGUCGCUGACCUGGGCGCGCUGCGCGCGGUGUGCACGCACCCGCGCGCGCGCCGCCCCUCGGCGCCCGCAGCCCCUCGCUCUCGGUCACCCUCGCCUC
RNAcentral lists this long non-coding RNA (296 nucleotides) under Salvia miltiorrhiza (redroot sage). Its description in RNAcentral is "long non-coding RNA (SMIL_LNC002389)". Lineage: Eukaryota; Viridiplantae; Streptophyta; Magnoliopsida; Lamiales; Lamiaceae. The record is from RNAcentral.